This 899-nucleotide ribosomal RNA is filed under the name Arthrobacter sp. Its description in RNAcentral is "bacterial SSU rRNA". It matches the Rfam family "Bacterial small subunit ribosomal RNA", at positions 8 to 916 of the family's 1533-position model. The record is from RNAcentral. Lineage: Bacteria; Bacillati; Actinomycetota; Actinomycetes; Micrococcales; Micrococcaceae.
AGAGUUUGAUCCUGGCUCAGGAUGAACGCUGGCGGCGUGCUUAACACAUGCAAGUCGAACGAUGAUCCGGUGCUUGCACCGGGGAUUAGUGGCGAACGGGUGAGUAACACGUGAGUAACCUGCCCUUAACUCUGGGAUAAGCCUGGGAAACUGGGUCUAAUACCGGAUAUGACUCCUCAUCGCAUGGUGGGGGGUGGAAAGCUUUAUUGUGGUUUUGGAUGGACUCGCGGCCUAUCAGCUUGUUGGUGAGGUAAUGGCUCACCAAGGCGACGACGGGUAGCCGGCCUGAGAGGGUGACCGGCCACACUGGGACUGAGACACGGCCCAGACUCCUACGGGAGGCAGCAGUGGGGAAUAUUGCACAAUGGGCGCAAGCCUGAUGCAGCGACGCCGCGUGAGGGAUGACGGCCUUCGGGUUGUAAACCUCUUUCAGUAGGGAAGAAGCGAAAGUGACGGUACCUGCAGAAGAAGCGCCGGCUAACUACGUGCCAGCAGCCGCGGUAAUACGUAGGGCGCAAGCGUUAUCCGGAAUUAUUGGGCGUAAAGAGCUCGUAGGCGGUUUGUCGCGUCUGCCGUGAAAGUCCGGGGCUCAACUCCGGAUCUGCGGUGGGUACGGGCAGACUAGAGUGAUGUAGGGGAGACUGGAAUUCCUGGUGUAGCGGUGAAAUGCGCAGAUAUCAGGAGGAACACCGAUGGCGAAGGCAGGUCUCUGGGCAUUAACUGACGCUGAGGAGCGAAAGCAUGGGGAGCGAACAGGAUUAGAUACCCUGGUAGUCCAUGCCGUAAACGUUGGGCACUAGGUGUGGGGGACAUUCCACGUUUUCCGCGCCGUAGCUAACGCAUUAAGUGCCCCGCCUGGGGAGUACGGCCGCAAGGCUAAAACUCAAAGGAAUUGACGG